AACUCUGUGUGAAAAAGAUAAACUUUCCUAGAAACUUUAGUUUCUUCGUCAAGUUUCCUAUUUUUACUUGGAGUU
This 75-nucleotide non-coding RNA is filed under the name unclassified sequences. The record is from RNAcentral.